This 301-nucleotide ribosomal RNA is filed under the name uncultured bacterium. RNAcentral's name for it is "partial 16S ribosomal RNA". It matches the Rfam family "Bacterial small subunit ribosomal RNA", at positions 509 to 807 of the family's 1533-position model. The record is from RNAcentral.
CAGUCGCCGCGGUAAGACAGAGGAUGCAAGCGUUAUCCGGAAUGAUUGGGCGUAAAGGGCUCGCAGGCGGUUUCUUAAGUCUGAUGUGAAAGCCCCCGGCUCAACCGGGGAGGGUCAUUGGAAACUGGGAAACUUGAGUGCAGAAGAGGAGAGUGGAAUUCCACGUGUAGCGGUGAAAUGCGUGGAGAUGUGGAGGAACACCAGUGGCGAAGGCGACUCUCUGGUCUGUAACUGACGCUGAGGAGCGAAAGCGUGGGGAGCGAACAGGAUUAGAUACCCCAGUAGUCCCUGUCUCUUAUAC